CUCGAUUGGUGGCGCACUUGGUCAAGUUCUUGGUGGGCUCACGUGUACUUUUAAAAGUAAACCACAUAUUCACGAAGCCCGCUUACAUCAGCGGGCUUUUUAUU
This 104-nucleotide small RNA is filed under the name Vibrio aestuarianus. Its description in RNAcentral is "Trp_leader". It matches the Rfam family "Tryptophan operon leader". From Rfam's summary of the family: At least 6 amino acid operons are known to be regulated by attenuation. In each a leader sequence of 150-200 bp is found upstream of the first gene in the operon. The record is from RNAcentral. RNAcentral also lists the same sequence under 1 other name. Lineage: Bacteria; Pseudomonadati; Pseudomonadota; Gammaproteobacteria; Vibrionales; Vibrionaceae.